Molecule: long non-coding RNA, 333 nt
Organism: Hydractinia symbiolongicarpus
Lineage: Eukaryota; Metazoa; Cnidaria; Hydrozoa; Anthoathecata; Hydractiniidae
Exons: 3
Source: RefSeq, a predicted model, not a curated record
AAGUCAGAUCUGAAGAGAGAAGUAGUGGUACUCCAAUUAGCAGUGCCAGCAAACGUAAAUGCAUAGACAUUGAAGAUGAUGCUGCUUGUUCUCGCUUUCCUUUGUCCGAAAAAAAAUUCCAAUACAAGACUCUUUCCAUCCUAACUGAGAUGCGAGACAUGCUCAAGAAGUUAGUGGGGGAGCAGGAAAUAGAUAUAGAAGAAGAAUACAGAAUAUGCGACACACACGAGGAGCUGUCGUCGCUAGAGGUGAAGCUGGGAGAUGCUUCCUCGAACAAGAGCAUGCUUCAACAGUUAUCAAGAAUUGGCGGUAUCAAUUAUAAAGACAACACGC